AGCCAUAUGACGUUGAUAUACCGAUUCCCGUACGAUCACCGAAGUUAAGCAACAUCGAACCUGGUCAGAAUCUAGAUGAGUGACCGCUUGGGAAUACCAGGUACUGUAAG
This is a non-coding RNA of Acanthosepion pharaonis, 110 nucleotides long. NCBI's taxonomy places the organism in Eukaryota, Metazoa, Mollusca, Cephalopoda, Sepiida, Sepiidae. The record is from the annotation of a GenBank genome assembly.